Molecule: ribosomal RNA, 493 nt
Filed under: uncultured bacterium
Lineage: Bacteria
Description: partial 16S ribosomal RNA
Rfam family: Bacterial small subunit ribosomal RNA
Source: RNAcentral
AUUGAACGCUGGCGGCAUGCUCUACACAUGCAAGUCGAACGGUAACAGGUUAAGCUGACGAGUGGCGAACGGGUGAGUAAUGCAUCGGAACGUGCCCGAUCGUGGGGGAUAACACUUCGAAAGAAGUGCUAAUACCGCAUACGAUCUGAGGAUGAAAGCGGGGGACCGUAAGGCCUCGCGCGAUCGGAGCGGCCGAUGUCAGAUUAGGUAGUUGGUGGGGUAAAGGCCUACCAAGCCGACGAUCUGUAGCUGGUCUGAGAGGACGACCAGCCACACUGGGACUGAGACACGGCCUAGACUCCUACGGGAGGCAGCAGUGGGGAAUAUUGGACAAUGGGCGAAAGCCUGAUCCAGCAAUGCCGCGUGUGUGAAGAAGGCCUGCGGGUUGUAAAGCACUUUCAGUGGGGAGGAAGGGUUAUAUUCGAAUAGAGUAUGACAUUGACGCUACCCACAGAAGAAGCACCGGCUAACUCUGUGCCAGCCGCCGCUGUAA